This 2115-nucleotide long non-coding RNA is filed under the name Sorghum bicolor (sorghum). RNAcentral describes it as "long non-coding RNA (SBIC_LNC015689)". Lineage: Eukaryota; Viridiplantae; Streptophyta; Magnoliopsida; Poales; Poaceae. The record is from RNAcentral.
CCGUGGCUUCUGGAGUCUUCUAGAUGAUAGAAAAUUGCACGGCACGUUAAUAUCUCUAUGUAAACCCGACGUGUGGGCCUUUCCUCCAUAUUUCCUGAUAACCCCCUGCAGAAAUAGACAAACACCAAAACUCGUGGAAUUCUGUCAGAUAAAACCCUAAGUCUAGGUGUUGGUUGCAUUUGGAUCCUUUUCUAUGAUUAAUUGAUGGUUAAAUGUGAGCAUUAAGGACCGUCAACAAGCUCCCCCAAGCUUAACCUUUGCUCGUCCCUGAGCAAAGAUGAACUCAAGAGUUUCUGCAGUGGUUUAAUAACUUAAAGAUACAUGCGUUUAAACAAGAUCUCAUCUCUGGUUAGAGUAAACAGUUAAGACUUAAAACUUACUCAUUUACCUUUCACCAUGGGACUUGUAACCGUCACUUGUGUCUUGAGCAGUUAAAAGAUAGAACAGUCUAGUCAAGCGUCAUGUCUCUUGUUCUUCGAUUAACUAUAGCUCUGGAGUUUUUGCAGAUUUUCAAAUAAAACUCAGAGAUUCCUUGUAUGACUCUCUCUAGUCUCUCUUUUGUGGUAUUUCUGGAUCCUUACCAAGGCAAUAAUGGUGUAUGCCUUCUCUCAAAGUAUGUAGUAUUUUUGGUAUGGGGCAUAGUGGCAUUGCCUUCUCUCUCACCCUACUCUAAUAAGGUUUUGAUAUCUGGAGCUCAUAGGUGGGAGACAGCUAAUACAUACUUACAAGACAUUUAUUGCAUCGUCAAACCAUGGAUCCAGAAGAACAAGUCAAUAAGUCAAAUCAAGAUGUGCAUGUGUGGCGAAUGAAUGGUGUAUGGUAAUGAUGGUGAUAACAAUGGUGAAAGUCUAAUUCUACUUGUGCUCUUUUGAGGGGAUACAUACCUUUCUUGCACUUUGAAACUUUUUGAGGAGAAUGAGAUGCUCUAUAUUUUCUUUUUUCUUUUCUCUCAGGUGGGUAUCUUGUACCCCUAAUUCUACUGUCGGACACUUGUCCAUUUUUACCUCUCGUCUCACUUUUUUUUCUCCGAGCUUUCGGGCACUUGCCCCUUUUUAUUUCCUCAUAUUUUUCUCUCUUUUUUUUAGAGCACUCAUCUCAUGAGAUAAUGUAGCAAGUGGUAGUAACAAGAUAACUUGAGCAUUUAUUUCACAGGGGAAAACAGAAAUGUUUUUGGCUAUUCUCUCCGGGAUUAGGAGUAGAAUAUUUUUAGGUGAUUCUGGAGAUGGAAAUGGGUGGAUAUAUGUGGAUGGUACUUCCGGAGUAGAAGUAGCAUGUGUGAGUGAACGUGCAAAUGAAUCUUGAUUUAACCACAUGACAAGCUCCUAAGGGUCUACACAGCUUGACCACACUCAAUGCUCAUAAGCAGUAAAAAGUAAAUGUCUGGCUCAAAGUCUAGCAAGCAUGUAUAUAUGGCUGUGGUAGGAAUUUAAACUCUCAUCAUACUGGAACUCAUCAUGCAACAUUUUAAAGUUUUUUUUCAAAGAUAAAAUUCUCCAGAAUUCUAGCAUUUCUAGGAACAGAUAAACAACAGCUCAACCUUCCCAUAUCACAUCCGUUAAUGACUUAGACUUCAGAUCAAGUACUCUUCCCACAAGUUCAGGUUUAGAGCAAAUCUUAAUUAAUACCAGUCAUGCCUAAACUUGAGAGAGAUUUCAAUUUAAGAACUAGUCAUAGCAGAGUAACUAUUCAUCAUUUCCAUGUGAGAGAUUAUCAUGAGGGUUCAUAGCAAACUUUAUUUAUUUAUUUAUUUAGCAAACUAAGCAAAGAUAUAUAUAUAUAUAUAAGCACAAAAUGUUUAUUUGGGUUUAUAUGAUUAUGCAUCUUUUUAUUAUUAGAGUAAAGUAUAAACAUGAGUAGAAUACUUAGCUGGAUAAAUGGGGGUGCUCUCCCCCAAGCUGGAUUUUGACGUAGUUUCUUCUAAUGUAGCUAGCAAGUGGUGGAGGUGUAUUUGAAUGUCAGCAGCACCCUGACAGUGAUUAGGAUGUCCUCCGUCUGCUAGUCUUCUUUGAUCCUUGAAUUCUGUGGAGCUUAAAUAGACAACAAAGCUUUGUGGAACUGGUUAAGUGUUAGCAUAAAUACCUAGCCUUUAUCAUGUUGAGCCUCCUCAAUAAAUGU